Long non-coding RNA from Paramisgurnus dabryanus, 2326 nucleotides. RefSeq lists it as uncharacterized. NCBI's taxonomy places the organism in Eukaryota, Metazoa, Chordata, Actinopteri, Cypriniformes, Cobitidae. The record is from RefSeq and is a predicted model, not a curated record.
ACAAGCAAGUGUGUGAGAGAGAUUUGAAUAUAUUAUACGGAUUAGAUAAAUAUUAGUGAUAGGCGAAACAUAUUUUCAUAUUAGUAUCGCUAGUUAAUUUUUAAACAUGUAGAGGAGACUGGGGAGCUAUAUAAUGGAACCUUUAGACAACAUUAAACAAUAUUAUGGAUUUCAUAACUCGUAAAUAGGGUCACUGAGUGUCAGUUUGCUUAAGCUGAAGAAACUUGAGUAGAUGACUUAGACUUAAUAAAGAAAAACAGCCAAAAAGAUAUUCAAACCUAAAAAAAAACCUGGUUGAUAAAAUGGCAAUUUCAAAUUUUAGGCAAAGGGUGACUAACGUUACACUGAAGACGCUAAAAUAUACAUAACUGUGAUUCAUAUUGGAUUUUGAAGGCAUAACAUAAUUUUGUUAGUAUUAUAGUAAGUGACACUUAACGUUUGACAGGUAGUGUGUAUAUCUAGUCCUAAUAUAUAUAACCUUUAAAAUGUUUGCUAAUUUAUUAGUUUGUGCUUUGUAACUUUUUAACCUUUACAUUUUAUUCAAAGCUAACUAAUGUCAUAUGCUAUAUUGCACAGUUUUUACAACUUUGACAACUGUGUGGCUUUGCACAAUAAGAGCAACACAUCUAUAAAGAACAAUGGGUUCUUACAGCUUGUAUUGCAACCAAAAUAAUUGGUGCAUAAGAAUUGCAUUGAUUUCUAAAUGCUGGCAUCAGAUUUAAGAGCUUUUUGCUGUGUGAAGAACACAAGAAUUAGUGCACUGCACUGAAUUAUACCUAGAGAAUGAUGCUUUCAACAUAUUUUGCUCUUAUUUUGUUGACCAUGUCUUUAAUUCCACAAAUAACCCAUUCGUAUGAGCUUCAAGAUACGAUUCGUACUCUCAGAGAGGAGAAUGCAUACCUACAUCACAAACUGAAAAAUGUUACUCAAGCACUGCGGGAUAUGAGAAAACUGCUGCUGGACCACUCACAUGGGUCUGCUGUGGAUGCUGAUAGUGACCAACUGCAAGUCUGGAAUGAAUGGAUUAAAAAUGGUAUCAACACAGAGACUCAUCUCAUGUUAGAACAAGCUUUCUGUGUACCGGAUCUUCACACAAGUGCUAAUAUCUGUUUUCCAAAACAAAUUCUUCUUGUUGUAUCAAGUUUCUUUUGGAUUGGGUUCCUCUUUAUCUAGACACUAAUGUUAUAUGCAAUCUUUUAACCCGUUUAAACUUGUGGACAACUUAAGUUGCCUAAACCUGCCUCUAUGACUCCUUUUUUACCUGGAAAUAUUUUUGGGUGACUAUGGAUGAUUUAAAACAACUCACAUACAAAAAAACAGUAUACACUCAUAAAAAUAAGCAACCUGGUCACAGCGAUGCCAUAGAGGAACCUUUUCUGGUUCUUUAAGGAACCAUUUCUUUCACCUUUAAGAACUUUUUGUGAAACAGAAAGGUUCCUUUUCAUGUUAUAGGUGCUUCAAAAAACAUUUAGACAGAAAAGUUUCUUCUAUGGCAUCGUGAAGCACCUUUAUUUUUAAAUAUUCAAACCUGUGUUUCUGUAUAGCUCAGUGGUAGAGCAUUGCAACAAAAAGUCAUGGGUUCAAGCCCAGGGAACACAAAUACUAAUAAAAAUGUAUAGGCCUAGCUUAAAACCUCAUUUUGUAAAAUACAGAUAAACUUCAUUCUGUACUAUGAACCAGUCAAGUUAAAUGCAGUUGUCUUUGUGUUUGAGAAUGUAAAUAAAAAAAUUGCAGCUUAUAUGUUAGAUGUUUCCUUUGUUGAUUCUGUUCAAUGCUGAUUCUCAAUAUUGUAGCGACAUGAAAUUAUUCCCAGCCGUUUCUCUAUCGCAGACUUUGUGUGUUUGAUGUUCUACACUGCAGAUUUCACAUCAGCCCAACAGAAUUGGCCUUUGUUCAGUUAAUUAAAAUCAGCCUCAUGCAUAGAUUAGAAAAUUUACAUCUGAUUGUGCUGAAUUGAUAAAUGAAAUGAAGUCUUACUACGUGUUGGGUUACAUACAACGGUACACUGUCAGGAAUAAAGCUACAAAAGCUGUUACUGGGGCAAAAGGUUGUAAUAUGUACCAUUUAGGUAGAAAUAUGUGCCUUUAAGGUACUAAUAUGCACUCUUUGGGUACAAAUGUGUACUUUUUGAAAGUAGAUGUUCGUAAUAAUCUGAAAAUGUCUGAGAGUUCUGUGAUGAUGCAUCAAUUAUCAAAAACUACAUACAAACGACACUUAAAAAAUAAGGGUGUCUAAAAGUUUCCUUGCAGCAAUCCCAAUAACCAAUUUUGGAAAUAUUCAGUGAAAGAUUCAUAGAAGAACUAUUUCUUUCAUGCCUUUUUUAACG